RNAcentral lists this transfer RNA (63 nucleotides) under Cavia porcellus (domestic guinea pig). It matches the Rfam family "tRNA", at positions 1 to 62 of the family's 71-position model. Rfam says of the family: Transfer RNA (tRNA) molecules are approximately 80 nucleotides in length. Their secondary structure includes four short double-helical elements and three loops (D, anti-codon, and T loops). The record is from Rfam by way of RNAcentral. Lineage: Eukaryota; Metazoa; Chordata; Mammalia; Rodentia; Caviidae.
GGGGAUAUGGCUCAGUGGUAGAGCUUUUGCCUUGCAUGCACAAGGCCCUGAGUUCGAUCCCCA